Molecule: RNA transcript, 2870 nt
Organism: Ctenopharyngodon idella (grass carp)
Lineage: Eukaryota; Metazoa; Chordata; Actinopteri; Cypriniformes; Xenocyprididae
Gene name: interferon-induced protein 44-like
Exons: 9
Source: RefSeq, a predicted model, not a curated record
UGUGGUCACUGUCCAUUGGUAAUUUCGGCUGAUACCUUUAGUAGGCUAUGUUAUUAAGGAAAGGGCAGAUAAGUGUUUGAAUAGGAGGAGCUUCACAUUCUGCUGGCGUGAUCUUGUACGAAGAGCAUUUCAGUGUUUAUGCACAAAGAUACCGCUAAAAGAUGAAAAAAAGGCUGGGAAAUCUAAGUUCGGGCUCCCUCACUUCUGAUUUAACAGAGGAGAAAAGAAAGCAGCUCUGUUCCUUGCUGGGGAAUGUGGAACUGACUCUUCUCUACAAAGCUUCUGUUCAUGGAUAUCAUGCUUCUGUCUUCCACCAGCGAUGUGACCGUCAGGGUCCAACAUUACUUGUGGCCUACAACCGUUCAGGCUACAUCUUUGGUGGAUACACUAGUGUAGAUUAUACUCAAAGUGGAGAGGAAAUUACAGAUGAGAGCGCUUUCCUGUUCAGCUUUCAAGGUGUUCAUCGUUCAAAUCCUCUCUGCAUCAAAAUUAACAGUGCACGUUAUGUACGUUAUGAUGAUGCUGGAGGACCCAGCUUUGGCGAACAGUUAUACUUUUGCUACAACAACCAACCAGUUGUGUAUAGUAAAGGAGGGAGUGGAUCAUAUUAUAAUGCGGGGUUUAAUGCAUUCAAUUUUAGUCCUGCCACACUACGUGGGAAUGACACUCAACUAACUGAAUGUGAGGUGUACAAAGUGGAACAGAAAAAAGAUCCUCAGAUCAGUGCCAAGGUGAAGCCAUGGAGGAAUGUUCAGUGGACAGCAAAACGAAGAGACGAGCUCAUGAAAAUGAUCAGGAAUUAUAAACCCAUGCUGACGUCUGUGAGUCGGGUCAGAAUCCUAAUGAUCGGUCCUGUAGGUGCAGGAAAAUCCAGUUUCUUCAACUCCAUCAACUCCAUCUUCAUGGGCCGCAUGACCAGUAAAGCCAUGUCAGGAUCUGCAGGCACUAGCCUCACCACACAGUUUCGCACAUACCCAGUGAAAGACGGUCGUGAGGGAAAGCCACUGCCGUUUGUGUUGUGUGACACCAUGGGACUCGAGGAGCAAUCAGGUGCAGGACUGGAUAUUAAGGACAUCAGCCGCAUUCUUCAAGGUCACGUACCAGACCGCUAUAAAUUCAACCCCAUGACACCAUUUCAACCGGAUGAGCAAAAGACCUCCAGACCUGCAUCUCUACAGGAGAAGAUCCACUGUGUGGUGUACGUGAUAGACGCCACCAAAAUCUCCCUCAUGUCCGACAAACUAGAGGAAAAACUUGCUGCCAUACGCAGAAAAGUGAACUCACUGGGUUUUGAUGGCAAAAGUAGAUGAAGCAUGUCCUGAUGUGGAGGAAGAUCUUCAAAAUGUUUAUAUCACUUCCUACAUCAAGACGAAGGUAAAAUCGAACUUCGAGCCUCCUGUACCCAUUCUGUGAUGCCAAACAACUUCCCUGUGCAAAGGAUCUUGAGGGCCCGUAGUGUUCAUCAGUUGUACCCUUCGAGAGCACUUCAGUUUGGAACGACCCUUCAAUAUGGCGGCCAUGAUUGUUUUCACUCCAAAGUGCCCUUCGGAGGGCGAUAUAUCCUGUUUGAAACGCACGGAUAGUCACAUGAUCACAUGAACACUUCCUUAAGGACUCACUUCACAUCAAGGCACAAAGUCACUUUCCAAAACCUUCACCCUCUCUGCUCCUCUCUGGUGAAAUAAGCUGCCAACCUCCACAUGAACUCCUGAGAGCAUCGCAACUUUUACAGCGUGGCUAAAGACACACCACUUCUGCAAAAACUUAACCACUCCACAACCUUAAACCAAUAUGCUUACACAAAAAAAUCAUAUUUUUUUUCUGUUCUGCAUUCCUCCUCUUCUCUACCUUGUUUCCUAAUCUAAUUUUCUAACAAACCUGGCAUUGUAUACUAUAAACAUUGUUGGCUCUGUGACAAAUUGAUUAUGUUCCUCUAUUGUUAGUCACUUUGGAUAGAAACAUCUCCUAAAUGCAUAAAUGUGACUGAGAUGUUGUUUCGUCUCUGCAGGUUCAGGAGGUGAGCUCUCGGUUGGGUGUGCCAGUGUCUUGUGUGUUACCGGUGAAGAACUACAGUCAGGAGCUGGAGCUGGAGCUCAACUGUGACGUCCUGCUUCUCACCGCUCUACAGCAGAUGCUAUACUUUGCAGACGACUAUUUGGAUGAUGUUUGUCCCGUGGAGGACAAACCCAAAUAAAGAGCUGUGUAUUAUAGAUCAGGAUAUUUACCUCUUGAUCAGCACAAUAAGACAUCUUAAGUUAGAAAAUUAUUUUGUUCUGUUUGCCUGUUCUAGUUCUUUUGUAGUCAUAGAAAAUCCAUUCAAGAAAAUGCAAAUAAGGUACUGUAAAGUUUCAUGCUUUUGUUAGUUGCUUGUUGACUGUUGUUCCACAAUCAGGUUUAUAGGUUAUAAUACUAGAAUCAUGUGUUAGGCCUGCAAAUUAACAGAAAAAACAUGGAGAAUUCAGUAUGCUAAAACUGUAUAAGGACUAUAUUUAAAAAUGCUUCUUUUGAUAAAUGGAUCACUUUUUUAUUAUAUGCUUUAGGCUUAAAGUGUCUUUCAGAAUUGUGCAAGAUUAAAAUAAAAUUAAUUAUACAAAUUUUAGACUUUAUUGUUUCUAUAUAUAAAAUGUAUAUUUUAAUGAAAUAUGAAUAUAAAUGAAUUUUAAAUUUAAAAAUUUCUAAUUAAAUAUUUUUUUUCCCAACAAAGCACAUGCUUUGGAUCACAAUCGAAUGUAUGUAUAAAUAGGCCAUGACAAUGCUUAUUUACCUACAUGUUAAAUCAGACAUUUUAUUUCUACACUUUACAACAGAAUAUCAGAACAGAAUAUUCUGAAAAAAAUUAUAUUGACAAAUAAAGUACAUUUUUAUCUCUA